RNAcentral lists this transfer RNA (74 nucleotides) under Loxodonta africana (African savanna elephant). It matches the Rfam family "tRNA". Rfam says of the family: Transfer RNA (tRNA) molecules are approximately 80 nucleotides in length. Their secondary structure includes four short double-helical elements and three loops (D, anti-codon, and T loops). The record is from Rfam by way of RNAcentral. Lineage: Eukaryota; Metazoa; Chordata; Mammalia; Proboscidea; Elephantidae.
CCCCAUGUGGUGCAAAUGGUUAAUACGCUUGGCUGCUAACCAAAAUGUUGGCGGUUCAAGUCCACCCAGAGGUG